CACUCCUGCGGGAGGCAGCAGUGGGGAAUUUUGGACAAUGGGCGAAAGCCUGAUCCAGCCAUGCCGCGUGCAGGAUGAAGGCCUUCGGGUUGUAAACUGCUUUUGUACGGAACGAAACGGCCUUUUCUAAUAAAGAGGGCUAAUGACGGUACCGUAAGAAUAAGCACCGGCUAACUACGUGCCAGCAGCCGCGGUAAUACGUAGGGUGCAAGCGUUAAUCGGAAUUACUGGGCGUAAAGCGUGCGCAGGCGGUUAUGUAAGACAGUUGUGAAAUCCCCGGGCUCAACCUGGGAACUGCAUCUGUGACUGCAUAGCUAGAGUACGGUAGAGGGGGAUGGAAUUCCGCGUGUAGCAGUGAAAUGCGUAGAUAUGCGGAGGAACACCGAUGGCGAAGGCAAUCCCCUGGACCUGUACUGACGCUCAUGCACGAAAGCGUGGGGAGCAAACAGGAUUAGAAACCCUGGUAGUCCCA
Molecule: ribosomal RNA, 472 nt
Filed under: uncultured organism
Description: partial 16S ribosomal RNA
Rfam family: Bacterial small subunit ribosomal RNA
Source: RNAcentral